AUUGAACGCUGGCGGAAUGCUUUACACAUGCAAGUCGAACGGCAGCACGGACUUCGGUCUGGUGGCGAGUGGCGAACGGGUGAGUAAUGUAUCGGAACGUGCCCAGUCGUGGGGGAUAACGUAGCGAAAGUUACGCUAAUACCGCAUAUUCUGUGAGCAGGAAAGCAGGGGAUCGCAAGACCUUGCGCUGAUUGAGCGGCCGAUGUCAGAUUAGCUAGUUGGUGAGGUAAAGGCUCACCAAGGCGACGAUCUGUAGCGGGUCUGAGAGGAUGAUCCGCCACACUGGGACUGAGACACGGCCCAGACUCCUACGGGAGGCAGCAGUGAGGAAUAUUGGUCAAUGGACGGAAGUCUGAACCAGCCAUGCCGCGUGAAGGAUGAAGGCGUUCUGCGUUGUAAACUUCUUUUAUUUAGGAAGAAACCACUGAUUUCUAUUAGUGUUGACGGUAUUAAAUGAAUAAGCACCGGCUAACUCCGUGCCAGCAGCCGCAGUAA
Molecule: ribosomal RNA, 495 nt
Filed under: uncultured bacterium
Lineage: Bacteria
Description: partial 16S ribosomal RNA
Rfam family: Bacterial small subunit ribosomal RNA
Source: RNAcentral